This 73-nucleotide transfer RNA is filed under the name Amphiamblys sp. WSBS2006. It matches the Rfam family "tRNA". From Rfam's summary of the family: Transfer RNA (tRNA) molecules are approximately 80 nucleotides in length. Their secondary structure includes four short double-helical elements and three loops (D, anti-codon, and T loops). Lineage: Eukaryota; Fungi; Microsporidia; Amphiacanthidae. The record is from Rfam by way of RNAcentral.
GGGGAAUUAGCUCACUUGGUAGAGCGAUCGCUUCGCAUGCGAUAGGUAGUGGGUUCGAUUCCCACAUUCUCCA